This 301-nucleotide ribosomal RNA is filed under the name uncultured bacterium. RNAcentral describes it as "partial 16S ribosomal RNA". It matches the Rfam family "Bacterial small subunit ribosomal RNA", at positions 509 to 807 of the family's 1533-position model. The record is from RNAcentral.
CAGUAGCCACGGGAAUACGGAGGGUGCAAGCGUUAUCCGGAUUCACUGGGUUUAAAGGGUGCGUAGGCGGAUCUGUAAGUCAGUGGUGAAAUCUCCAGGCUUAACCUGGAAACUGCCGUUGAUACUAUAGGUCUUGAAUUUUGUGGAGGUUAGCGGAAUAUGUCAUGUAGCGGUGAAAUGCAUAGAUAUGACAUAGAACACCAAUUGCGAAGGCAGCUGGCUACACAACUAUUGACGCUGAGGCACGAAAGCGUGGGGAUCAAACAGGAUUAGAGACCCGUGUAGUCCCUGUCUCUUAUAC